GAUGAACGCUGGCGGCGUGCUUAACACAUGCAAGUCGAACGGGAAACCUUUUAUUGAAGCUUCGGCAGAUUUAGCUGGGUUCUAGUGGCGGACGGGUGAUUAACGCGUGGGUAACCUGCCUUAUACAGGGGGAUAACAGUCAGAAAUGGCUGCUAAUACCGCAUAAGCGCACAGAGCUGCAUGGCUGAGUUCGAAAAACUCCGGUGGGAUAAUAGGGAGCCGCGGUGGAUUCGCUGGUUGGGGGGGUAACGGCGCACGAGGGCGACGGUCCAAAGCCUGGCUGAGAGGCUGAGCGGCCACACUUGGGCUGAGACACGGCGCAGACUACUACGGGAGGCAGCAGUGGGGAAUAUUGCACAAUGGGGGAAACCCUGAUGGAGCUACGACGCGUAAGGGAAGAAGGAUCUCAGGAUGUAAACUUCGAUAAGCAGGGACGAUAAUGACGGUACCUGAAGAAGAAGCCCCGGCUAACUACGUG
This 478-nucleotide ribosomal RNA is filed under the name uncultured bacterium. RNAcentral's name for it is "partial 16S ribosomal RNA". It matches the Rfam family "Bacterial small subunit ribosomal RNA", at positions 28 to 507 of the family's 1533-position model. The record is from RNAcentral.